AGAAAAUUAGUUAAAAAAUAACAUUAAUUUGUCAAAUUAAAAUUACCUUAGUAUUUUCUG
This 60-nucleotide transfer RNA is filed under the name Pseudoniphargus sp. 2-Canaries. RNAcentral describes it as "tRNA-Asp". Lineage: Eukaryota; Metazoa; Arthropoda; Malacostraca; Amphipoda; Allocrangonyctidae. The record is from RNAcentral.